RNAcentral lists this ribosomal RNA (440 nucleotides) under uncultured bacterium. Its description in RNAcentral is "partial 16S ribosomal RNA". It matches the Rfam family "Bacterial small subunit ribosomal RNA", at positions 338 to 795 of the family's 1533-position model. The record is from RNAcentral.
CCUACGGGUGGCAGCAGUGGGGGAUAUUGCACAAUGGGGGAAACCCUGCUGCAGCGACGCCGCGUGUGGGAAGACGGUCCUCUGGCUUGUAAACCACUGUCCCCAGGGACGAAGAUGACGGUACCUGGGGAGGAAGCUCCGGCUAACUACGUGCCAGCAGCCGCGGUAAUACGGGGGGAGCGACCGUUGUCCGGAAUUACUGGGUGUAAAGGGAGGGUAGGCGGGGAUGCAAGUUGGGGGUAAAGACUACCGGCUAAACUGGGAGGCGCACACAAAACUGCAGCUUUUGAGGGAAGGAGAGGCAGGCGGAAUUCCUGGUGUAGCGGUGAAAUGCGUAGAUAUUAGGAGGAAGACCAGUGGCGAAGGCGGCCUGCUGGGCUUUAACUGACGCUGAGGCUCGAAAGUGUGGGGAGCAAACAGGAGUAGAGACCCCAGUAGUC